Molecule: ribosomal RNA, 388 nt
Filed under: uncultured bacterium
Lineage: Bacteria
Description: partial 16S ribosomal RNA
Rfam family: Bacterial small subunit ribosomal RNA
Source: RNAcentral
CUACGUAGGUGGCAAGCGUUAUCCGGAAUUACUGGGCGUAAAGAGUGAGCAGGCGGUUAAUUAAGUCUGAGGUUAAAGCGUGGGGCUCAACCCCAUAAAGCCUUGGAAAAUGUUUGACUAGAGUACUGGAGAAGCGAAGGGAACCCCAUGUGUAGCGGUGAAAUGCGUAGAUAUAUGGAAGAACACCAGUGGCGAAGGCGCUUCACUAGCCCGAAACUGACGCUCAGUCACGAAAGCGUGGGUAGCAAAUAGGAUUAGAUACCCUAGUAGUCCACGCUGUAAACGAUGACAACUAAAUAUUGCCGCGAGGCAGUGUUGAAGCUAACGCAUUAAGUUGUCCGCCUGGGGAGUACGGUCGCAAGACUGAAACUUAAAGGAAUUGACGGGG